Molecule: long non-coding RNA, 1350 nt
Organism: Peromyscus californicus insignis
Lineage: Eukaryota; Metazoa; Chordata; Mammalia; Rodentia; Cricetidae
Exons: 2
Source: RefSeq, a predicted model, not a curated record
CCUUGGAAGGUCCCUUGUUCUUUGACAGCCAAGACUUGACCCCGUCGACCCGGUCCUCCAGCUCUGAGUCCACAUCGGAGUCCCCCUCACUGUUGGGGCGAGGAGCAAAGAGCAGACCACACUGGGUGACAGACAGCCACUAAGAAGAUCCUGGAAGUGUGGAGGCACCACCCGUUCCUCCAGACAUGAGUGACAGGCUAGUCAGCUGGCCGACCAGAUGAACAUGGUAGGUGGGCCAUCUACUUCGCAAGUCUAGCCUAAUGGCGCUUGGUUAAAGAGAAGUCUUAGGGCUGACAAGAUGAUUCAGUGAGUAAUAGCACUCGCCACCAAGCCUGAGUUCAAUCCCUGGAAGCCAUAUAUAUGCUGUAGCACACCCAUAUCCACAUAUAUACAUAUAUCCACACAAUAUUGUUUGUAUUGCUGGGUAGUGGUGGCUCACACCUUUAAUCCCAGCACUCGGGAGGCAGAGGCAGGUGGAUCUCUGUGAGUUCAAGACCAGCCUGGUCUACAGAGUGAGUUCCAGGACAGCCAGGGCUACACAGAGAAACCCUGUCUGGAAAAACCAAAUAAAACAAAUAGGGGUGUGUGUGUGUGUGUGUGUGUGUGUGUGUGUGUGUGUGUGUGUGUGUGUGUGUGUUUUCCUGGGCCCUUCAGCUCCCCCUUGAGGCCCAUGUUGCUAUUUCUUGUUGAGAUGCCUCAGACUGUGGCUACGAUUACCACCAUUUUCUAUGUCUUCAUUACAAAAGCAGGGCUGCCAGUCAUCAUAGGACAGAGGCAGGACCUUCACAUGACUUCAGGCUAACUUGAAGGUCUCUUUAGCUGCUAACAAUACAAACCUAAGUUAAUGAAGCACCAGCCACAUCCUAGACCAGCUUGUGGUGUCCCUGGCUUUUAGAAACAGGAAAAAAAGGGGAGAAGAGCAGCACCUUCCCCGAGGGCCUGCUAGUGCUUUCAGGAUCUGGGCAGCUCCAGGAAGCCCAGUGGGCUCAGAGAGUCUUCAGGCAGGGCUCUGACUCUCCGGGCUCCUCAUCCCUCCCUCGGGCAGCCUCCAGCCCCUGCUCCCCACUGCUACUGCUGGACAGGCUGACCCCAGCACCUGCAAGAAAGUCUCAGAGUCUAAUUCUGAGGCUAGAGUCGGGGUGACCCCUCAUCAAGCAGUGGGGGCAUAGAGAUAAAUGCUUUGCAAAUUCUGCAAAAUGUCUGCUCUCUAAGAUCCCCUGCUCUGGAUAGGCUGAGAUUUCUUCUUGAUAUAAAUUUCCUUUCAUCUGUGUCAACAGGAGUGGCCUGGUCCUGAAUUAUGUUCUUGAAUAAAUAGUCACACAGGCAUAUGCAUGUAUACUUACACGCAUG